Molecule: long non-coding RNA, 568 nt
Organism: Biomphalaria glabrata
Lineage: Eukaryota; Metazoa; Mollusca; Gastropoda; Planorbidae
Exons: 3
Source: RefSeq, a predicted model, not a curated record
AAAAGGUGUGUGUCUGUUUGCAACUAUGAUAUAUUUGUGUUGCUGUUGAGUGUGCUGCUGUAGUUACUUCACGUCGACAGGAGGAUCCUCCCUGGAUUACAAAAGGAUUUGAGAUCGCCUUACCAACGGAUCACAAAUAAGGAUUAGCGGAUGGAAUGGCCUCGCGAUGUCUCUUUGGUGGAACUUGUAAGAGAACAGAAGAACUCUGGGAAAAGGAUUCAGGAUGAAAUGUAAAACUAAAUUCUGAUUUUAAAAAAAGGACAAGAGAGCUGAUCAGAAGAUGUCCUAAAGAAUCGACAAAUGUCUUGAGACUUGAUUAGAAGAUAUCCCAGAGAUUUAUAAUAAUGUACCCUAGACUGGAAACUUUGUUAUAAAAUGCUUUAGAGAAUGGAUUAUUAGAAGCCCUAGAAUAGAUUAGAAGAAGUCCUAGAGAGUGGAUAAUGAGAUUGGGCUAAAAGAGUUGUGACCAACUUAUGACGUGUUUUAAGAAUUUUAGAAUCUAAGUCUCCUUUAAGAUACUGCAGGACAAUGUUUUUAGUUCAAUGGAAAAAAGUUGUGAUAUAUAUAU